CGCACGCAGGCCCCGCCUCUCCUGGGGACCGGGCCUGAGGACGAGGGGCGGGACGUUCGAGGCGGGACGUUCGAGGCGGGGAAAGUGCGAAAGACAAAAACCGGAUUCAAAGCCAUGAACAUGAUGAAUACUGCCUCCCGGCCGGGUCCAGCUCACCUGACUGCCCAUCCUUGGUAACCAUGCAAGAACAGCACUGAAGGGGCUCAGGGGGAAGAUGGCAGCAUAGGAGGACGCUGGGCUCACCUCAUCCUGCUGAUCACUUAGAUUCCACCCACGCUUGCUUAAAUAACCCAGAGAACCGCCAGAAGACUAGCAGAAUGGACUCUCCGGAGCCAAGCGAAGACAAGAGGCCCACGGAAGAGGGGGAUUGUUUUUAAAGCUUAUGUUGCCACUGGGAAUGAGUUCUUUAGAUUUUGAUUUUCUACAAAGAAAAGGAUACGAAAAUGAAAAGAAAGCAGGAGCUGAAAGAAUAGGAGAGAGAAGAGAAGGAGAAAUCAGAAAGGGAAAGAAGAAAACCAAGGACUGAUCCCUGGGAUGCUCCAAAAUUAAUAGGUCUUGGAGAAGAGAGAGUGCUAGCAUGAAGACUGAGAAGGAAUAACCAGUGAGCCAGGAAGCAAAUGAAAAAGAGUAUGGUGUCCUGGAAGCCAUGUGAAGAAAAUAUAUUGAGGAAGAGGGAGUCAUCAGCCAUGCCACUGGAUUUACAGGCAGCUAAUGAAGGAAACCAACCCAGGGACUUCCUCUAGACCGGGAGGUGCUAACCAAGGGAGUUCUACAGAAAGCAUGCCUGGGGUGAGUGGCUUGGCCUAGCUUUUAGUCUGUCCACAUCAGAGGACACAGUAUGGUGCCUCCCAGUCCUCAUCUGGCCCCCAGACCUUUUUGUUGUUGUUCUCACAAAAUUUAAAAUCAUU
This is a long non-coding RNA of Leopardus geoffroyi (Geoffroy's cat), 908 nucleotides long. RefSeq lists it as uncharacterized. The record is from RefSeq and is a predicted model, not a curated record. NCBI's taxonomy places the organism in Eukaryota, Metazoa, Chordata, Mammalia, Carnivora, Felidae. The transcript is spliced from 6 exons.